UGGGGAAUUUUGGACAAUGGGGGAAACCCUGAUCCAGCCAUCCCGCGUGUGCGAUGAAGGCCUUCGGGUUGUAAAGCACUUUUGGCAGGAAAGAAACGUCGCGGGUUAAGUACCCCGCGAAACUGACGGUACCUGCAGAAUAAGCACCGGCUAACUACGUGCCAGCAGCCGCGGUAAUACGUAGGGUGCAAGCGUUAAUUGGAAUUACUGGGUGUAAAGCGUGCGCAGGCGGUUCGGAAAGAAAGAUGUGAAAUCCCAGAGCUUAACUUUGGAACUGCAUUUUUAACUACCGGGCUAGAGUGUGUCAGAGGGAGGUGGAAUUCCGCGUGUAGCAGUGAAAUGCGUAGAUAUGCGGAGGAACACCGAUGGCGAAGGCAGCCUCCUGGGAUAACACUGACGCUCAUGCACGAAAGCGUGGGGAGCAAACAGGAUUAGAUACCCUGGUAGUCCACGCCCCUAAACGAUGUCAACUAGCUGUUGGGGGGCCCUUCGGGCCUUGGUAGCGCAGCUAACGCGUGAAGUUGACCGCCUGGGGGAGUACGGUCGCAAGAUUAAAACUCAAAGGAUUGACGGGGUCAUAGCUGUUUCCUG
RNAcentral lists this ribosomal RNA (591 nucleotides) under uncultured bacterium. RNAcentral's name for it is "partial 16S ribosomal RNA". It matches the Rfam family "Bacterial small subunit ribosomal RNA", at positions 355 to 1376 of the family's 1533-position model. The record is from RNAcentral.